This 253-nucleotide ribosomal RNA is filed under the name uncultured bacterium. Its description in RNAcentral is "partial 16S ribosomal RNA". It matches the Rfam family "Bacterial small subunit ribosomal RNA", at positions 524 to 776 of the family's 1533-position model. The record is from RNAcentral.
AACGUAGGUGGCGAGCGUUAUCCGGAUUUACUGGGCGUAAAGGGUGUGCAGGCUGCUCAUCAAGUGGUGUAUGAAAUCGCCCGGCUCAACCGGGCGGGGUUAUGCCAGACUGGUAAGCUAGAGUGCGGGAGAGGGGCGUGGAAUUCCGGGUGUAGUGGUGAAAUGCGUAGAGAUCCGGAGGAACCCCAGAGGCGAAGGCGGCGCCCUGGCCCGCAACUGACGCUCAGACACGACAGCAUGGGGAGCGAACGGG